Non-coding RNA from Penaeus vannamei (Pacific white shrimp), 234 nucleotides. Lineage: Eukaryota; Metazoa; Arthropoda; Malacostraca; Decapoda; Penaeidae. The record is from RefSeq and is a predicted model, not a curated record.
CUAAUUCCUUGUCUCUCCUUCUAGCUCCUUCAAAUUCUCCAAAACGCACUGUAACUGAUAUCACUCGUAGAUCAAAGAGAAGAAAGAGCACUGGAUGCAGCACUUGAUGCCAUUCUGCAGCGUGUGAUAGACAUCAAGAGUUCCCUGCAGGAACUGAUGCUCAAGAUUGAGAGGGAAGGAGAGCAGGCUGACUGGCCUUCCUAUCUGGAUGCCUUCUCUGUUAUCUCUGCUCAG